UAAGGAAUAUUGGUCAAUGGGCGAAAGCCUGAACCAGCCAUCCAGCGUGCAGGAAGAAGGCCCUACGAGUUGUAAACUGCUUUUGUCAGGGAAGAAACCCUUGGAUUCACUCCGAGGCUGACGGUACCUGAAGAAUAAGCACCGGCUAACUCCGUGCCAGCAGCCGCGGUAAUACGUAGGGUGCAGGCGUUAAUCGGAAUUACUGGGCGUAAAGCGUGCGCAGGCGGUUUGCUAAGACAGGUGUGAAAUCCCCGGGCUUAACCUGGGAACUGCGCUUGUAACUGGCAAGCUAGAGUGUGGCAGAGGGGGGUGGAAUUCCAGGUGUAGCAGUGAAAUGCGUAGAUAUCUGGAGGAACACCGAUUGGCGAAGGCAGCCCCCCUGGGCUAACACUGACGCUCAUGCACGAAAGCGUGGGGAGCAAACA
Molecule: ribosomal RNA, 425 nt
Filed under: uncultured beta proteobacterium
Lineage: Bacteria; Pseudomonadati; Pseudomonadota; Betaproteobacteria
Description: bacterial SSU rRNA
Rfam family: Bacterial small subunit ribosomal RNA
Source: RNAcentral